UGCCAGCCGCCGCGGUAAUACGAGGGGUGCUAGCGUAGUUCGGAAUUACUGGGCUUAAAGAGUUCGUAGGUGGUUGAAAAAGUUGGUGGUGAAAUCCCAGAGCUUAACUCUGGAACUGCCAUCAAAACUUUUCAGCUAGAGUAUGAUAGAGGAAAGCAGAAUUUCUAGUGUAGAGGUGAAAUUCGUAGAUAUUAGAAAGAAUACCAAUUGCGAAGGCAGCUUUCUGGAUCAUUACUGACACUGAGGAACGAAAGCAUGGGUAGCGAAGAGGAUUAGAUA
Molecule: ribosomal RNA, 279 nt
Filed under: uncultured bacterium
Lineage: Bacteria
Description: partial 16S ribosomal RNA
Rfam family: Bacterial small subunit ribosomal RNA
Source: RNAcentral